CAGCAGCCGCGGUAAUACGAAGGGUGCAAGCGUUAAUCGGAAUUACUGGGCGUAAAGCGUGCGUAGGCGGUUUGUUAAGUCUGCUGUGAAAUCCCCGGGCUCAACCUGGGAAUGGCAGUGGAUACUGGCAAGCUAGAGUGUGUCAGAGGAUGGUGGAAUUCCCGGUGUAGCGGUGAAAUGCGUAGAGAUCGGGAGGAACAUCAGUGGCGAAGGCGGCCAUCUGGGACAACACUGACGCUGAGGCACGAAAGCGUGGGGAGCAAACAGGAUUAGAUACCCGUGUAGUCCCUGUCUCUUAUAC
Molecule: ribosomal RNA, 301 nt
Filed under: uncultured bacterium
Lineage: Bacteria
Description: partial 16S ribosomal RNA
Rfam family: Bacterial small subunit ribosomal RNA
Source: RNAcentral